RNAcentral lists this ribosomal RNA (101 nucleotides) under Mucor circinelloides. Its description in RNAcentral is "5.8S ribosomal RNA". It matches the Rfam family "5.8S ribosomal RNA", at positions 1 to 101 of the family's 154-position model. From Rfam's summary of the family: 5.8S ribosomal RNA (5.8S rRNA) is a component of the large subunit of the eukaryotic ribosome. It is transcribed by RNA polymerase I as part of the 45S precursor that also contains 18S and 28S rRNA. Lineage: Eukaryota; Fungi; Mucoromycota; Mucoromycetes; Mucorales; Mucoraceae. The record is from RNAcentral.
CAACUUUUAACAACGGAUCUCUUGGUUCUCGCAUCGAUGAAGAACGUAGCAAAGUGCGAUAACUAGUGUGAAUUGCAUAUUCAGUGAAUCAUCGAGUCUUU